RNAcentral lists this ribosomal RNA (276 nucleotides) under uncultured Arthrobacter sp. RNAcentral describes it as "partial 16S ribosomal RNA". It matches the Rfam family "Bacterial small subunit ribosomal RNA", at positions 1107 to 1382 of the family's 1533-position model. The record is from RNAcentral. Lineage: Bacteria; Bacillati; Actinomycetota; Actinomycetes; Micrococcales; Micrococcaceae.
GUGGUUAGUUGCCAGCAAGUAGCGUUGGGCACUCUAGCCAGACUGCCGGUGAUAAAUCGGAGGAAGGUGGGGACGACGUCAAAUCAUCAUGCCCUUUAUGUCCUGGGCUACACACGUACUACAAUGGCCGUUACAACGGGAAGCGAAGGAGCAAUCCGGAGCAAAUCCCUUAAAGGCGGUCCCAGUUCAGAUUGUGGGCUGAAACUCGCCCACAUGAAGGCGGAAUUGCUAGUAACUGCAGAUCAGCAUGCUGCAGUGAAUACGUUCCCGGGCCUU